UUUUUUGUACAGUGGUAGUAUCAUAGCCAAUGAGGUUUAUUCAACAUGAGAUUAUUGCUAACUGAAAACUUUUCCCAAUACCCCAUCACGACGACUUGACAUAUAGUUGGCAUUGGCAAUUUUUGAGAGUCUCUAUGAAGA
Molecule: small nuclear RNA, 141 nt
Filed under: Myotis brandtii (Brandt's bat)
Lineage: Eukaryota; Metazoa; Chordata; Mammalia; Chiroptera; Vespertilionidae
Description: U4 spliceosomal RNA
Rfam family: U4 spliceosomal RNA
About the family: U4 small nuclear RNA (U4 snRNA) is a component of the major U2-dependent spliceosome. The structure of U4 snRNA from yeast and human has been reported. U4 snRNA presents a k-turn RNA motif in the 5p-SL related to recognition of Snu13 protein.
Source: Rfam by way of RNAcentral